RNAcentral lists this ribosomal RNA (859 nucleotides) under 'Polyscias fruticosa' little leaf phytoplasma. Its description in RNAcentral is "bacterial SSU rRNA". It matches the Rfam family "Bacterial small subunit ribosomal RNA", at positions 377 to 1243 of the family's 1533-position model. Lineage: Bacteria; Bacillati; Mycoplasmatota; Mollicutes; Acholeplasmatales; Acholeplasmataceae. The record is from RNAcentral.
GAAACUCUGACCGAGCAACGCCGCGUGAACGAUGAAGUAUUUCGGUAUGUAAAGUUCUUUUAUUGAAGAAGAAAAAAUAGUGGAAAAACUAUCUUGACGUUAUUCAAUGAAUAAGCCCCGGCUAACUAUGUGCCAGCAGCCGCGGUAAUACAUAGGGGGCGAGCGUUAUCCGGAAUUAUUGGGCGUAAAGGGUGCGUAGGCGGUUAGGAAAGUCUAUAAUUUAAUUUCAGUGCUUAACGCUGUCUUGUUAUAGAAACUACCUUGACUAGAGUUAGAUAGAGGCAAGCGGAAUUCCAUGUGUAGCGGUAAAAUGUGUAAAUAUAUGGAGGAACACCAGAAGCGUAGGCGGCUUGCUGGGUCUUGACUGACGCUGAGGCACGAAAGCGUGGGUAGCAAACAGGAUUAGAUACCCUGGUAGUCCACGCCGUAAACGAUGAGUACUAAGUGUCGGGGUAAAACUCGGUACUGAAGUUAACACAUUAAGUACUCCGCCUGAGUAGUACGUACGCAAGUAUGAAACUUAAAGGAAUUGACGGGACUCCGCACAAGCGGUGGAUCAUGUUGUUUAAUUCGAAGAUACACGAAAAAUCUUACCAGGUCUUGACAUGCUUUGCAAAGCUAUAGAAAUAUAGUGGAGGUUAUCAGGGACACAGGUGGUGCAUGGUUGUCGUCAGUUCGUGUCGUGAGAUGUUAGGUUAAGUCCUAAAACGAGCGCAACCCUUGUCGUUAAUUGCCAGCACGUAAUGGUGGGGACUUUAGCGAGACUGCCAAUUAAAAAUUGGAGGAAGGUGAGGAUUACGUCAAAUCAUCAUGCCCCUUAUGAUCUGGGCUACAAACGUGAUACAAUGGCUGUUACAAA